This 320-nucleotide ribosomal RNA is filed under the name uncultured bacterium. RNAcentral describes it as "bacterial SSU rRNA". It matches the Rfam family "Bacterial small subunit ribosomal RNA", at positions 470 to 789 of the family's 1533-position model. The record is from RNAcentral.
UGACGGUACCUGACUAAGAAGCUCCGGCUAAAUACGUGCCAGCAGCCGCGGUAAUACGUAUGGAGCAAGCGUUAUCCGGAUUUACUGGGUGUAAAGGGUGUGUAGGCGGCAUGGCAAGUCAGAAGUGAAAGACCGGGGCUCAACCCCGGGGCUGCUCUUGAAACUGCUGUGCUCGAGUCCAGGAGGGGCAAGCGGAAUUCCUAGUGUAGCGGUGAAAUGCGUAGAUAUUAGGAAGAACACCGGUGGCGAAGGCGGCUUGCUGGACUGGAACUGACGCUGAGGCACGAAAGCGUGGGGAGCAAACAGGAUUAGAUACCCUG